RNAcentral lists this small nucleolar RNA (80 nucleotides) under Leishmania donovani. RNAcentral describes it as "C/D box snoRNA LD32Cs1C1". Lineage: Eukaryota; Euglenozoa; Kinetoplastea; Trypanosomatida; Trypanosomatidae. The record is from RNAcentral.
GGGUAUGAUGCGUUGACAUCGACAUAGCAAUUUGCGAUUGACUCACUUCGUGAUCAUGAUACCAUUAUUUACCUUCUGAU